UCGUCAUGUAGAGCCGUCUGCCGCAGAUAAACAGAACAAGUCGCUAACAGCCAACACAACUGUCAGUUUCCAGUUGCUCAGGAGAUGAUAAUCCUCUCCUCGGAAGCAACCCCACCUGAGUGCUGCGGACACCACAAGUGUUCACCUCUCACCUCCCCACCGCACCAGAGGGAGUCUCCGUGUGAGCUUAUGUCUGGAACUCUGCCUGUCUGAAAAGGAAUUACGCUGCAGAACCAACAUUAGAGGGGUCGGGAGGUGCAGGUGUCUAUUUCCAGCUAGCGUUCCGGGUGAGAGGCGGGGUCACCUGGACAGGUCGCCAGUUUGUCGCAGGGCAACACAGAGACA
Molecule: long non-coding RNA, 345 nt
Organism: Xiphophorus maculatus (southern platyfish)
Lineage: Eukaryota; Metazoa; Chordata; Actinopteri; Cyprinodontiformes; Poeciliidae
Exons: 3
Source: RefSeq, a predicted model, not a curated record